RNAcentral lists this ribosomal RNA (1315 nucleotides) under unidentified marine bacterioplankton. RNAcentral's name for it is "bacterial SSU rRNA". It matches the Rfam family "Bacterial small subunit ribosomal RNA", at positions 9 to 1371 of the family's 1533-position model. The record is from RNAcentral.
GAGUUUGAUCAUGGCUCAGAACGUACGCUGGCGGCACGCCUAACACAUGCAAGUCGAACGAAGUAGCAAUACUUAGUGGCAGACGGGUGAGUAACAUGUAGGUAUCUGCCCUUUGGCCUGGAAUAACACGAGGAAACUUGUGCUAAUACCGGAUAAGUCUUUACGGAGAAAGCUUUAUGCACCAUUGGAUGAGCCUGCACUUGAUUAGUUUGUUGGUGGGGUAAUGGCCUACCAAGACUGUGAUCAAUAGCUGAUUUGAGAGGAUGAUCAGCCACAUUGGGACUGAGACACGGCCCAAACUCCUACGGGAGGCAGCAGUGGGGAAUCUUGCACAAUGGAGGAAACUCUGAUGCAGCGAUGCCGCGUGAGUGAAGAAGGCCUUUGGGUUGUAAAGCUCUUUCGUCGGGGAAGAAAAUGACUGUACCCGAAUAAGAAGGUCCGGCUAACUUCGUGCCAGCAGCCGCGGUAAUACGAAGGGACCUAGCGUAGUUCGGAAUUACUGGGCUUAAAGAGUUCGUAGGUGGUUGAAAAAGUUAGUGGUGAAAUCCCAGAGCUUAACUCUGGAACUGCCAUUAAAACUUUUCAGCUAGAGUAUGAUAGAGGAAAGCAGAAUUUCUAGUGUAGAGGUGAAAUUCGUAGAUAUUAGAAAGAAUACCAAUUGCGAAGGCAGCUUUCUGGAUCAUUACUGACACUGAGGAACGAAAGCAUGGGUAGCGAAGAGGAUUAGAUACCCUCGUAGUCCAUGCCGUAAACGAUGUGUGUUAGACGUUGGAAAUUUAUUUUCAGUGUCGCAGGGAAACCGAUAAACACACCGCCUGGGGAGUACGACCGCAAGGUUAAAACUCAAAUGAAUUGACGGGGACCCGCACAAGUAGUGGAGCAUGUGGUUUAAUUCGAAGAUACGCGCAGAACCUUACCAACACUUGACAUGUUCGUCGCGACUCUAAGAGAUUAGAGUUUUCGAUUCGGCCGGACGAAACACAGGUGCUGCAUGGCUGUCGUCAGCUCGUGUCGUGAGAUGUUGGGUUAAGUCCCGCAACGAGCGCAACCCUCACUUUUAGUUGCCAUCAUUAAGCUGGGCACUCUGAAAGAACUGCCAGUGAUAAGCUGGAGGAAGGUGGGGAUGACGUCAAGUCCUCAUGGCCCUUACGUGUUGGGCUACACACGUGCUACAAUGGUAUCUACAACAGGAAGCAAAACUGCGAAGUUAAGCAAAUCCCUAAAAGAUACCUCAGUUCGGAUUGCACUCUGCAACUCGAGUGCAUGAAGCUGGAAUUACUAGUAAUCGUGGAUCAGCGUGCCACGGUGAAUGCGU